RNAcentral lists this ribosomal RNA (406 nucleotides) under uncultured bacterium. RNAcentral describes it as "partial 16S ribosomal RNA". It matches the Rfam family "Bacterial small subunit ribosomal RNA", at positions 29 to 526 of the family's 1533-position model. The record is from RNAcentral.
AUUGAACGCUGGCGGCAGGCCUAACACAUGCAAGUCGAACGAGUGGCGGACGGGUGAGUAAUGUCUGGGAAACUGCCUGAUGGAGGGGGAUAACUACUGGAAACGGUAGCUAAUACCGCAUACCAUCAGAUGUGCCCCGAUGGGAUUAGCUAGGUGGUGGGGGAACGGCGCACCAAGGCGACGAUCCCUAGCUGGUCUGAGAGGAUGACCAGCCACACUGGAACUGCGACACGGCCCAGACUCCUACGGGAGGCAGCAGUGGGGAAUAUUGGCCAAUGGGCGCAAGCCUGAUGCAGCAAUGCCGCGGGUAUGAAGAAGGCCUUCGGGUUGUAAAAUUCUUUCAGCGGGGAGGCGGUACCCGCAGAAGAAGCACCGGCUAACUCCGUGCCAGCAGCCGCGGUAAUAC